This 785-nucleotide ribosomal RNA is filed under the name Acinetobacter junii. Its description in RNAcentral is "bacterial SSU rRNA". It matches the Rfam family "Bacterial small subunit ribosomal RNA", at positions 74 to 849 of the family's 1533-position model. Lineage: Bacteria; Pseudomonadati; Pseudomonadota; Gammaproteobacteria; Moraxellales; Moraxellaceae. The record is from RNAcentral.
AGGUGCUUGCACCUUAUCUUAGCGGCGGACGGGUGAGUAAUGCUUAGGAAUCUGCCUAUUAGUGGGGGACAACAUUCCGAAAAGGAAUGCUAAUACCGCAUACGUCCUACGGGAGAAAGCAGGGGAUCUUCGGACCUUGCGCUAAUAGAUGAGCCUAAGUCGGAUUAGCUAGUUGGUGGGGUAAAGGGCCUACCAAGGCGACGAUCUGUAGCGGGUCUGAGAGGAUGAUCCGCCACACUGGGACUGAGACACGGCCCAGACUCCUACGGGAGGCAGCAGUGGGGAAUAUUGGGACAAUGGGGGAAACCCUGAUCCAGCCAUGCCGCGUGUGUGAAGAAGGCCUUAUGGUUGUAAAGCACUUUAAGCGAGGAGGAGGCUACUGAGACUAAUACUCUUGGGAUAGUGGACGUUACUCGCAGAAUAAGCACCGGCUAACUCUGUGCCAGCAGCCGCGGUAAUACAGAGGGUGCGAGCGUUAAUCGGAUUUACUGGGCGUAGAGCGUGGCGUAGGCGGCUUUUUAAGUCGGAUGUGAAAUCCCCGAGCUUAACUUGGGAAUUGCAUUCGAUACUGGGAAGCUAGAGUAUGGGAGAGGAUGGUAGAAUUCCAGGUUGUAGCGGUGAAAUGCGUAGAGAUCUGGAGGAAUACCGGAUAGCAAAGCAGCCAUCUGGCCUAAUACUGACGCUGAGGUACGAACGCAUGGGGAGCAACAGGAUUAGAUACCCUGGUAGUCCAUGCCGUACACGAUGUCUACUAGCCUUUGGGGCCUUUGAGGCUUUAGUGGCGC